RNAcentral lists this non-coding RNA (183 nucleotides) under Cyanobium sp. RNAcentral describes it as "6S RNA". It matches the Rfam family "6S / SsrS RNA". From Rfam's summary of the family: E. coli 6S RNA was the first non coding RNA to be sequenced, but its function was unknown until recently. It consists of 184 nucleotides that fold into an extended hairpin structure with a large single-stranded internal bulge. The 6S RNA specifically associates with RNA polymerase holoenzyme containing the sigma70 specificity factor. RNAcentral also lists the same sequence under 2 other names. Lineage: Bacteria; Bacillati; Cyanobacteriota; Cyanophyceae; Synechococcales; Prochlorococcaceae. The record is from RNAcentral.
UUCGAGCUGCUGUGUUGGUGACUGCCUUUCACAGUUUUCUGAUCUGACUCCCUCUUCGACGUGGGAGAUCUGUCGCCACGGUGACGUAUACCGGCCCUGUUGCCGGAAAUGAAGCCCGGCUUUGAUCUCUCCUCUGGUUUAUCCAGGUCGAAACCUGGGGCAAGACGGCAUGGCGGUUCACCC